UUAUUGCAAUUUUUUCUUAUUUUUUUGUAUUUUUUUCUUCAGUUUUAAAUGAUUGAAUAAUUUCUUUUCAGAUUUUAGAAACAAGACAUCAUACUCCGGGCCCUUCAUUCGCACCAACUCUGUCCGUGACCGGAUGCUGAAGUUCACCGAACCAGUCUCAAGCGCACCUAGAAGCGCUCAUAGUUUCUCUCAUUCUACAAACACAGUGUCAGCAGACGAGUCCCGGGACACCCUGUCCUGUUCCUCCUCCAUCCCAAAGAAAGGGAGAAAUGUCAGCGAGAGCAUGAUGUCAGCCCAGCCUAAACUGCUCUCCAGCCAAUCACGCGCAGCAGUGGGCGGCUCAGAGACUCGCAGUCAAAAUGUCAGGAGUGCAUGUGGCUUUUCAGAAGAAGUGCAGACUCCUGAGGGAGAAUCAUCUGCAGGAGCCCACCACUCCAGCAUGAAAACCUUCCUCAGCAUCGAGAUCAAAGACGGACGAAACCCACCGUCACAUUCUUCACUCUCAUCGUCCUCCACCGCCGUAAACAUGAGUCCUCGAAUCAUCACAGCUGCCGCUCCGCAGAGAACAGAGCUGACUCUUGGUUUAAGAGCGACACCGUUCAAAGUGACCAGCUCGAGUCUCUCAUCCGGAUCCUCUGUGAAGGUGGUAAUGCUGUAAAACCCUCUGUAUUACUGACCAUGCGGGUGGUUUGUUGAAGCGCAGAUCAGCAUGACGUGGAUGAGAGCCGCCGCUCGGGCUCUAAGGGACAUUCACAGAAAUCACCGAGCUCUCAUUCCUGUCUAAAUGUCAGCGAGCUUCCACGGCUUCAGUGUAAACACAGCUGUACUCAUAGAUCAGACUCCGAAACAUUCCCUCCUCCAACCAGCCCCUUUUUCCAUCUGUGAGGCUUUCGCUCGCUCUUUCUUGUCCAUCUCUCCAGCUCUCUUUGCCAGGGCUAUUUUUGGACGGAUAUUUUUAUUGUCCCCGCUCUUAAAUCCUCAUGUCAAUUGUAUCGCCGUCGAUUAUAGCCUGCUUUAGGGAUUAGCUGUUCAGAGUUAUAAAUGUCAUCGCUGAGUUUUUGCUGUCACAGUAGCAGAUCAUACUGUCUGUCAAUCAAUCUGCCGUGUUGCAUCCUAAAGAUAAAUGCAUUUUAAUACAGUAUAAACUAGGGGUGUAACUAUACACUCAGCUCACGAUACAAUGUUUAUCACAAUACCAUGUUCACGAUUCGAUAUGUAUCUCGAUAUUUGG
RNAcentral lists this long non-coding RNA (1231 nucleotides) under Danio rerio (zebrafish). Its description in RNAcentral is "lncRNA (ENSDARG00000117525.1)". Lineage: Eukaryota; Metazoa; Chordata; Actinopteri; Cypriniformes; Danionidae. The record is from RNAcentral.